RNAcentral lists this ribosomal RNA (392 nucleotides) under uncultured eukaryote. RNAcentral describes it as "partial 18S ribosomal RNA". It matches the Rfam family "Eukaryotic small subunit ribosomal RNA", at positions 592 to 976 of the family's 1831-position model. The record is from RNAcentral.
CAAUAGCGUAUACUAAAGUUGUUGCGAUUAAAAAGCUCGUAGUUGGAUCUCAGGCAUGGGCGCACGGUCCGCCUCGCGGCGGUCCCUGUGUGUUUUGUUUCCCAUCCUACGCUUCCCGGUUAUCAGCCCAUGGUGCUCUUCACUGAGCGUUUUGGGUGGCCGGAACGUUUACUUUGAAGAAAUUAGAGUGUUCAAAGCAGGCACGUCGCCUGAAUAAUGGUGCAUGGAAUAAUGGAAUAGGACCUCGGUUCUAUUUUGCUGGUUUUCGGAACACGAGGUAAUGAUUAAGAGGGACAGACGGGGGCAUCCGUAUUGCGGUGUUAGAGGUGAAAUUCUUGGAUCAUCGCAAGACGAACAACUGCGAAAGCAUUUGCCAAGCAUGUUUUCAUUAG